Macaca mulatta (Rhesus monkey) is the source of this 188-nucleotide non-coding RNA. The record is from RefSeq and is a predicted model, not a curated record. NCBI's taxonomy places the organism in Eukaryota, Metazoa, Chordata, Mammalia, Primates, Cercopithecidae.
CAGGACAAGGUAUUUAAUUGUCAGGACCCAGUGCAAGCAAAAAAAAAGAGCAUUGCAGAAUCUUCCUCAGCUACCUGAGAUGGGCUCUCUUUUCCCUGGAGGUGAGGAGACAUGUGCUGGAAUUGGGGAUCAGGCACUGGAAGUGAGAUGAGGAAACUGAAGCUAGGAGAGGUCAAGAAACUUGCUCA